AUUGAACGCUGGCGGCAUGCUUUACACAUGCAAGUCGAACGGCAGCACAGCAGAGGUAACUCUGUGGGUGGCGAGUGGCGAACGGGUGAGUAAUACAUCGGAACGUACCCUGUUGUGGGGGAUAACUACGCGAAAGCGUAGCUAAUACCGCAUACGCCCUGAGGGGGAAAGCGGGGGGACCCUAAAUAGAGCGCACUGGGGAGUGCGUUGUAUUUAGGGCCUCGCGCAAUAGGAGCGGCCGAUGUCGGAUUAGCUAGUUGGUGAGGUAAAGGCUUACCAAGGCGACGAUCCGUAGCUGGUCUGAGAGGAUGAUCAGCCACACUGGGACUGAGACACGGCCCAGACUCCUACGGGAGGCAGCAGUGGGGAAUUUUGGACAAUGGGGGCAACCCUGAUCCAGCCAUGCCGCGUGAGUGAAGAAGG
RNAcentral lists this ribosomal RNA (423 nucleotides) under uncultured bacterium. RNAcentral's name for it is "bacterial SSU rRNA". It matches the Rfam family "Bacterial small subunit ribosomal RNA", at positions 29 to 414 of the family's 1533-position model. The record is from RNAcentral.